GUUAAGCGACUAAGCGUACACGGUGGAUGCCCUGGCAGUCAGAGGCGAUGAAGGACGUGCUAAUCUGCGAUAAGCGUCGGUAAGGUGAUAUGAACCGUUAUAACCGGCGAUUUCCGAAUGGGGAAACCCAGUGUGAUUCGUCACACUAUCAUUACGUGAAUACAUAGCGUAAUGAAGCGAACCGGGGGAACUGAAACAUCUAAGUACCCCGAGGAAAAGAAAUCAACCGAGAUUCCCCCAGUAGCGGCGAGCGAACGGGGAGCAGCCCAGAGUCUGAAUCAGCUUGUGUGUUAGUGGAACGGUCUGGAAAGUCCGACGGUACAGGGUGAUAGUCCCGUACACCAAAAUGCACAGGUUGUGAACUCGAAGAGUAGGGCGGGACACGUGGUAUCCUGUCUGAAUAUGGGGGGACCAUCCUCCAAGGCUAAAUACUCCUGACUGACCGAUAGUGAACCAGUACCGUGAGGGAAAGGCGAAAAGAACCCCGGCGAGGGGAGUGAAAAAGAACCUGAAACCGUGUACGUACAAGCAGUGGGAGCAUCCUUUUGGGUGUGACUGCGUACCUUUUGUAUAAUGGGUCAGCGACUUAUAUUCUGUAGCAAGGUUAACCGUAUAGGGGAGCCGAAGGGAAACCGAGUCUUAACUGGGCGUUAAGUUGCAGGGUAUAGACCCGAAACCCGGUGAUCUAGCCAUGGGCAGGUUGAAGGUUGGGUAACACUAACUGGAGGACCGAACCGACUAAUGUUGAAAAAUUAGCGGAUGACUUGUGGCUGGGGGUGAAAGGCCAAUCAAACCGGGAGAUAGCUGGUUCUCCCCGAAAGCU
RNAcentral lists this ribosomal RNA (823 nucleotides) under Citrobacter freundii. RNAcentral's name for it is "partial 23S ribosomal RNA". It matches the Rfam family "Bacterial large subunit ribosomal RNA", at positions 1 to 867 of the family's 2925-position model. The record is from RNAcentral. Lineage: Bacteria; Pseudomonadati; Pseudomonadota; Gammaproteobacteria; Enterobacterales; Enterobacteriaceae.